AUGGAUUGAUUAGAGGGCAAAGAC
RNAcentral lists this non-coding RNA (24 nucleotides) under Cricetulus griseus (Chinese hamster). The record is from RNAcentral. Lineage: Eukaryota; Metazoa; Chordata; Mammalia; Rodentia; Cricetidae.